AGGACGAACGCUGGCGGUGUGCUUCACACAUGCAAGUCGAACGAGGUAGCAAUACCUAGUGGCGGACGGGUGAGUAACGCGUGGGAAUCUGCCUGAAGAUGGGGGAUAGCUAGCCGAAAGGCUAAUUAAUACCGCAUAUGUAUAUAUUUCGACAGUUUUAUAUAUAAAAGUAGCAAUACGUCUUUAGAUGAGCCCGCGUCCGAUUAGCUAGUUGGUAGGGUAAAGGCCUACCAAGGCGACGAUCGGUAGGUGGUCCGAGAGGACGAUCACCCACAAUGGAACUGAGACACGGUCCAUACUCCUACGGGAGGCAGCAGUGGGGAAUUUUACGCAAUGGGCGAAAGCCUGACGUAGCGACACCGCGUGAACGAAGAAGCCUUUUGGGGUGUAAAGUUCUGUCGGCUGGGAAGAAAAAAAUGACGGUACCAGCAAAGGAAGCAUCGGCUAACUACGUGCCAGCAGCCGC
Molecule: ribosomal RNA, 466 nt
Filed under: uncultured bacterium
Lineage: Bacteria
Description: SSU rRNA
Rfam family: Bacterial small subunit ribosomal RNA
Source: RNAcentral